RNAcentral lists this unclassified non-coding RNA (230 nucleotides) under soil metagenome. RNAcentral's name for it is "partial internal transcribed spacer 1". The record is from RNAcentral.
CCGAAAGUUAAAACUCACAACGCGAGUCUCGUGCGGAAGCAAAUAUGACUGCCGAGACUUUGUGACUCUUCAAGUCUUCCUUUGCUCAAGUCAAACCACACUCGUGAAGCACAUGUGACGAGUCUGUGGUGAGCAUCGGGAGCACUGCGUUUCCUUCGGGAUUCACAGUCUAAAAAACGAAUUGUAAAAUAAAAUGUAAAGUAUAUAUAAACAAAAAAAGACGAAAAAAU